UACAGAGGGGGCAAGCGUUGUUCGGAAUUACUGGGCGUAAAGGGCGCGUAGGCGGCCCGCUAAGUCGAACGUGAAAUCCCCAGGCUCAACCUGGGAACUGCGUCCGAUACUGGCAGGCUUGAAUCCGGGAGAGGGAUGUGGAAUUCCAGGUGUAGCGGUGAAAUGCGUAGAUAUCUGGAGGAACACCGGUGGCGAAGGCGACAUCCCGGACCGGUAUUGACGCUGAGGCGCGAAAGCCAGGGGAGCAAACGGG
Molecule: ribosomal RNA, 253 nt
Filed under: uncultured bacterium
Lineage: Bacteria
Description: partial 16S ribosomal RNA
Rfam family: Bacterial small subunit ribosomal RNA
Source: RNAcentral